CUAACUCCGUGCCAGCAGCCGCGGUAAUACGGAGGGUGCGAGCGUUAAUCGGAAUUACUGGGCGUAAAGCGCAUGCAGGUGGUUUGUUAAGUCAGAUGUGAAAGCCCGGGGCUCAACCUCGGAAUUGCAUUUGAAACUGGCAGACUAGAGUACUGUAGAGGGGGUAGAAUUUCAGGUGUAGCGGUGAAAUGCGUAGAGAUCUGAAGGAAUACCGGUGGCGAAGGCGGCCCCCUGGACAGAUACUGACACUCAGGUAUGCGAAAGCGUGGGGAGCAAACAGGAUUAGAUACCCCUGGUAG
This 299-nucleotide ribosomal RNA is filed under the name uncultured bacterium. RNAcentral's name for it is "partial 16S ribosomal RNA". It matches the Rfam family "Bacterial small subunit ribosomal RNA", at positions 497 to 793 of the family's 1533-position model. The record is from RNAcentral.